UGCAAGUCGGACGAGAAAGGAGACUUCGGUCUCUGAGUACAGUGGCGUACGGGUGCGUAACACGUAAGUAAUCUGCCACGAACUCCAGGAUAACCCUCCGAAAGGAGGGCUAAUACUAGAUAGGGUCCCCGAGGUGAAGGCUGCGGGGGGAAAACGGGCCUCUGCUUCAUGCUCGUGGUUCGGGAUGAGCUUGCGGCCCAUUAGCUUGUUGGUAGGGUAAUGGCUUACCAAGGCUACGAUGGGUAGCUGGUCUGAGUGGAUGAUCAGCCACACUGGCACUGAGACACGGGCCAGACUCCUACGGGAGGCAGCAGUGGGGAAUUUUGCGCAAUGGGCGAAAGCCUGACGCAGUAACGCCGCGUGGAGGAUGAAGGCCUUCGGGUUGUAAACUCCUGUCAGGGGGAACGACGGGGAGAGGGUGAUAAAUCCUUUCCUCCAGACGGUACCUCCAAAGGAAGCCCCGGCUAAUUCCGUGCCAGCAGCCGCGGUAAUACGGAAGGGGCAAGCGUUGUUCGGAAUCAUUGGGCGUAAAGGGCGCGUAGGUGGUUUUGUAUGUCUACCGUGAAAGCAUACAGCUCAACUGUAUUUUGUCGGUAGAAACUGCAGGACUUGAGGCUGGGAGGGGCUGGUGGAAUUCCCUGUGUAGCGGUGAAAUGCGUAGAGAUGGGGGAGAACACUCGUGGCGAAGGCGGCCAGCUAG
RNAcentral lists this ribosomal RNA (700 nucleotides) under uncultured Pseudomonadota bacterium. RNAcentral's name for it is "bacterial SSU rRNA". It matches the Rfam family "Bacterial small subunit ribosomal RNA", at positions 56 to 732 of the family's 1533-position model. The record is from RNAcentral. Lineage: Bacteria; Pseudomonadati; Pseudomonadota.